RNAcentral lists this unclassified non-coding RNA (185 nucleotides) under uncultured Ascomycota. Its description in RNAcentral is "sequence contains ITS1". Lineage: Eukaryota; Fungi; Ascomycota. The record is from RNAcentral.
CAGAGUUAGGGUUGCCCUCGCGGUGCCCGACCUCCCAACCCUUUGCCUUGAAAAACAGCGUCCGAACGCGAGUUCGCACGCCAUGUAUAUACGUUGCUUCGGCGGCUCGCACCGCCGGAGGAACCGUAAACCAAAACUCUUGUUUUCAACCAUGUAACCGUCUGAGAAAAAACUUUAAUAAGUCA